CACGGAGUUAGCCGGUGCUUAUUCAUUGGGUACCUUCAGCUCUCUACACGUAAAGAGGUUUAUUCCCCAAUAAAAGCAGUUUACAAUCCAUAGGACCGUCUUCCUGCACGCGGCAUGGCUGGUUCAGGCUUGCGCCCAUUGACCAAUAUUCCUCACUGCUGCCUCCCGUAGGAGUCUGGUCCGUGUCUCAGUACCAGUGUGGGGGACCACCCUCUCAGGCCCCCUACCCAUCGUCGCCUUGGUGAGCCGUUACCUCACCAACUAGCUAAUGGGACGCAUGCCCAUCUUAUACCGUAGCCUUUAAUUAUCAAACCAUGCGAUCCAAUAAUACUAUGGGGGAUUAAUCCGAAUUUCUCCGGGCUAUACCCCAGUAUAAGGUAGGUUGCAUACGCGUUACGCACCCGUGCGCCGGUCGUCAGCAUCUAAGCAAGCUUAAAUCUGCUACCCCUCGACUUGCAUGUGUUAGGCCUGCCGCUAGCGUUCAUCCUGAGCCAGGAUCAAAC
RNAcentral lists this ribosomal RNA (503 nucleotides) under uncultured Fluviicola sp. Its description in RNAcentral is "partial 16S ribosomal RNA". Lineage: Bacteria; Pseudomonadati; Bacteroidota; Flavobacteriia; Flavobacteriales; Crocinitomicaceae. The record is from RNAcentral.